Molecule: ribosomal RNA, 1466 nt
Filed under: uncultured organism
Description: partial small subunit ribosomal RNA
Rfam family: Bacterial small subunit ribosomal RNA
Source: RNAcentral
GAUGAACGCUGGCGGCGUGCCUAAUACAUGCAAGUCGAGCGAACGGACGAGAAGCUUGCUUCUCUGAUGUUAGCGGCGGACGGGUGAGUAACACGUGGAUAACCUACCUAUAAGACUGGGAUAACUUCGGGAAACCGGAGCUAAUACCGGAUAAUAUUUUGAACCGCAUGGUUCAAAAGUGAAAGACGGUCUUGCUGUCACUUAUAGAUGGAUCCGCGCUGCAUUAGCUAGUUGGUAAGGUAACGGCUUACCAAGGCAACGAUGCAUAGCCGACCUGAGAGGGUGAUCGGCCACACUGGAACUGAGACACGGUCCAGACUCCUACGGGAGGCAGCAGUAGGGAAUCUUCCGCAAUGGGCGAAAGCCUGACGGAGCAACGCCGCGUGAGUGAUGAAGGUCUUCGGAUCGUAAAACUCUGUUAUUAGGGAAGAACAUAUGUGUAAGUAACUGUGCACAUCUUGACGGUACCUAAUCAGAAAGCCACGGCUAACUACGUGCCAGCAGCCGCGGUAAUACGUAGGUGGCAAGCGUUAUCCGGAAUUAUUGGGCGUAAAGCGCGCGUAGGCGGUUUUUUAAGUCUGAUGUGAAAGCCCACGGCUCAACCGUGGAGGGUCAUUGGAAACUGGAAAACUUGAGUGCAGAAGAGGAAAGUGGAAUUCCAUGUGUAGCGGUGAAAUGCGCAGAGAUAUGGAGGAACACCAGUGGCGAAGGCGACUUUCUGGUCUGUAACUGACGCUGAUGUGCGAAAGCGUGGGGAUCAAACAGGAUUAGAUACCCUGGUAGUCCACGCCGUAAACGAUGAGUGCUAAGUGUUAGGGGGUUUCCGCCCCUUAGUGCUGCAGCUAACGCAUUAAGCACUCCGCCUGGGGAGUACGACCGCAAGGUUGAAACUCAAAGGAAUUGACGGGGACCCGCACAAGCGGUGGAGCAUGUGGUUUAAUUCGAAGCAACGCGAAGAACCUUACCAAAUCUUGACAUCCUUUGACAACUCUAGAGAUAGAGCCUUCCCCUUCGGGGGACAAAGUGACAGGUGGUGCAUGGUUGUCGUCAGCUCGUGUCGUGAGAUGUUGGGUUAAGUCCCGCAACGAGCGCAACCCUUAAGCUUAGUUGCCAUCAUUAAGUUGGGCACUCUAAGUUGACUGCCGGUGACAAACCGGAGGAAGGUGGGGAUGACGUCAAAUCAUCAUGCCCCUUAUGAUUUGGGCUACACACGUGCUACAAUGGACAAUACAAAGGGCAGCGAAACCGCGAGGUCAAGCAAAUCCCAUAAAGUUGUUCUCAGUUCGGAUUGUAGUCUGCAGCUCGACUACAUGAAGCUGGAAUCGCUAGUAAUCGUAGAUCAGCAUGCUACGGUGAAUACGUUCCCGGGUCUUGUACACACCGCCCGUCACACCACGAGAGUUUGUAACACCCGAAGCCGGUGGAGUAACCUUUUAGGAGCUAGCCGUCGAAGGUGGGACAAAUAA